CCACCUGUUUGACCUCAGGCUGCAGCUUGGCAGUAGUUUCGUGCAGAAAAGCCGCCAACGUACGGUGCUGUGCGGUGUUGCUGCAUUUCGACCCGUGCAUCCAUUCCAGGUCGGAGAGCGGAUUCCUCUCAGCUCUCACUUUCUUACACAUCUUCCCUUAGGGUCUGGUAUUGAAUGAGGCAGCUCUAGCGUUGAGGGUUGGAGGAGGAGGAGGACCUUUUGAGUCCUGCAGCUUUUCUUUGACGAACUCGUAAAGCUGAACAGAUCCCUUGUGGGCCUGAAACCUUAUCUUAAGCAUGCUUAAGAACCCUUGGUCAUCUGACUCUCCCUGCCAUCACCUCUUCCCCUCAGGGAGUUGGGACCUGUUUUUGUCACAGGUGGAUGGUUGGGACUCUGUUUCAACUGGGGCAAGUUGGCAAGAUACUGUGAUACUGCCUCCAGGACCUGCACUUAACCAGAUUGACCCCCUAGACUAUGUGUACCCCGAGUGUUGAGACCGAAUUUGUGCUGUUCCUGGUGGUGUCCUUGGCACUCAGUACAGUGCCUGGCACAUAGCAGGUGGUGACACUGAUGAUAAAAAUCCGUUCAAGAAUUUAGAUGUGACAUCUGCAGCAGGUUCAAAUCUCUCAGCUGUAAGACAAAGUGGAUACUUCGUAAAGAUUUUCAUCUGUUAUGCACAGAGCCAAAAUCCGUUACUGAAAUGGUCUGAGUGAGCUGCCUGCUGGGUCCAGUGAUGCACUAGUAGACAAAGAAGUUGAAAGAGAAGGAUGGCAUAUUCUUUGGAUGACUGGCAGAGUGUGACACCAAAAUGGCAUCAAGCCCUAUGAUUCCAAGGACUUCAUGAUUAAAUAAAAAAUGUUUUUUUUUUUUUUUUUUUUUUUUUUUUUGUGUGUGUGUGUGGGAGUGGGUAGUUGAAGUAACUUUGAUCUUUAACUCCGGGAAUGUGUAAUGUAUUAUCAUUCUAUAAUACACAGUAAUUGCUUUGGUAAUCAAACUUUAAAGGUUGUGUCUGUUUAUGGAAUUUAUGUAGUUACCACUUUUUAGUAUUGGGUUCUCUUACUUUAAGGAAACUACAGUAAGGAAAAACCUCUGAUUCAACUAAAAUAACCUAAAAAGGUUAAAGACUAUCAUUUUCACAAGACAGUUUUUGCUCUGGGGGAUUCUUGAAAUUUUGCUCUCCUGCAGCAUAUAUAAAAUAUGUUUCUGGGGUGCCAGGGUGGCUCAGUUGGUUAAGUGUCCGACUCUUGAUUUCAGUGUAGGUCAUGAUCUCAGGGUCAUGAGAUAGAGCCCUGUGUCAGGCUUAUGCUGGAUUUGGAGCCUACUUAAGAUUCUGUCUCCCCUUUGCCCCUCCCUCCCUGCCUCUCAAAAAAAAAAAAAAAUGUGUGUAAAAAGUUUGUAAAAAGCUGCUGUACCCAGAAUUUUCUAAGAAAACAUCCUUUUUGUUAGGCUUUUGAAUACAAUAGUAGUAGAAAGUCACACUAUACAAUACAAUACUACAGAACAGUUAGUUGAAUUAAAAAAUUAAUAUCUUUAGACAUGUUAACUAAAGUCACUUCACAUGUUUUUAGUGUGAAUUGAAAAUACACUGGUACUUUUUAGAACCAUUGCAUCACAAGAAAACCAGGACAUCAGAGUAUUCUCUGAACCAAAUCAAAAUCUUAUUUGGUUAGAGCCCCUGCUUUUGGUUUAUAUCCGUUUAUUCCAGUUGUAGAGGGUUUGAAAGCAGUUCUGGGAAAUGAAGUGGGUGGAUUCUCAAUGUUGAAUCCCAUUUUUUUUCUUUUCGGUGUAUCUUCAACAUUUUUUUUAUCUUAGCAUUCAACAAAAACUCUAGCAUCCCAGGAUAUAAAACAUAGAUUAUAUUUUAUAUAGUUCAUGCAGCUCAUCUACAAACAGAAAAAGAUUCCCUCAUGACUUACCUUGAAAGCUGUUCAGGGCAUAUACUAUUCAGGGCAUAUACUAUUUUAUUCAAGGCAUAUACUAUUCAGUUUGACAGUGUGCCACUGCCACUACUGUCAGAGUGCAAUACAACCAACAUAGCCAUCCUGCUAGGAAAAAGAUCUGUGGGUUGCUGAGUAGUAGAAGUUACACACAUCUAAUUUACAAGUCAGAUUAGAGAUCAGAAUCCUACGAUAGCUUUAUGUGGAAUUGAUUUCAUUUCAUGGUUUUUAAGCUAUUUUUUCAUUGAAAGCAGUGUCUAUAAUGGAAAGACAAGUAUGGUGUAGCAUUCGAAUGCCUUAAACUCUUAAAUCUGGAAUGAAAGAGAUAUAGAUGUUCAGAUUCUAGAGCUCAGGGAUUUUGAAAUAAAAUGCUCUUGUCAUUCA
Long non-coding RNA from Canis lupus familiaris (dog), 2321 nucleotides. RefSeq lists it as uncharacterized. The record is from RefSeq and is a predicted model, not a curated record. The transcript is spliced from 4 exons. NCBI's taxonomy places the organism in Eukaryota, Metazoa, Chordata, Mammalia, Carnivora, Canidae.